GAAUUCGCCCUUCCUACGGGAGGCAGCAGUGGGGAAUUUUGGACAAUGGGCGCAAGCCUGAUCCAGCAAUGCCGCGUGCAGGACGAAGGCCUUCGGGUUGUAAACUGCUUUUGUACGGAGCGAAACGGUCUGGGUUAAUACCCUGGGCUAAUGACGGUACCGUAAGAAUAAGCACCGGCUAACUACGUGCCAGCAGCCGCGGUAAUA
This 207-nucleotide ribosomal RNA is filed under the name uncultured bacterium. RNAcentral's name for it is "partial 16S ribosomal RNA". It matches the Rfam family "Bacterial small subunit ribosomal RNA", at positions 326 to 525 of the family's 1533-position model. The record is from RNAcentral.